AUUGAACGCUGGCGGCAUGCCUUACACAUGCAAGUCGAACGGCAGCACGGGAGCAAUCCUGGUGGCGAGUGGCGAACGGGUGAGUAAAGUAUCGGAACGUGCCCAGUCGUGGGGGAUAACGUAGCGAAAGUUACGCUAAUACCGCAUACGAUCUAUGGAUGAAAGCGGGGGAUCGCAAGACCUCGCGCGAUUGGAGCGGCCGAUAUCAGAUUAGGUAGUUUGUGGGGUAAAGGCUCACAAAGCCGACGAUCUGUAGCUGGUCUGAGAGGACGACCAGCCACACUGGGACUGGGACACGGCCCAGACUCCUACGGGAGGCAGCAGUGGGGAAUUUUGGACAAUGGGCGCAAGCCUGAUCCAGCCAUGCCGCGUGCAGGAUGAAGGCCUUCGGGUUGUAAACUGCUUUUGUACGGAACGAAAAGGUUUGGCCUAAUAAGCUGAGCUCAUGACGGUACCGUAAGAAUAAGCACCGGCUAACUACGUGCCAGCCGCCGCCGGAA
RNAcentral lists this ribosomal RNA (500 nucleotides) under uncultured bacterium. Its description in RNAcentral is "partial 16S ribosomal RNA". It matches the Rfam family "Bacterial small subunit ribosomal RNA", at positions 30 to 523 of the family's 1533-position model. The record is from RNAcentral.